RNAcentral lists this ribosomal RNA (292 nucleotides) under uncultured bacterium. Its description in RNAcentral is "partial 16S ribosomal RNA". The record is from RNAcentral.
GGACUACCAGGGUAUCUAAUCCUGUUUGAUCCCCUUGCUUUCGCGCUUUAGCGUCAGGAAUAAGCUAGAAAACCGCCUUCGCCACCGGUGUUCUUCCACAUAUCUACGCAUUUCACCGCUACUUGUGGAAUUCCGUUUUCUCCGCCUAUCCUCUAGAAAUGCAGUUUCAAAUGCUGUUCCGAGGUUGAGCCCCGGGAUUUCACAUCUGACUUACAUCCCCGCCUACGCGCCCUUUACGCCCAAUAAAUCCGAUUAAUGCUUGCACCCUCCGUAUUACCGCGGCUGCUGGCAC